GAUGAACGCUGGCGGCGCGCCUAACACAUGCAAGUCGAACGAUUAGAGCACCUUCGGGUGUGUAUAAAGUGGCGAACGGCUGAGUAACACGUGGGCAACCUGCCCCUCUCAUUGGGAUAGCCACGGGAAACCGUGGAUAAUACCGAAUACUUCGAGACUUCCGCAUGGAAGACUCGAGAAAGCUCCGGCGGAGAGGGAUGGGCCCGCGGCCUGUUAGCUUGUUGGUGGGGUAACGGCCUACCAAGGCAAUGAUGGGUAGCUGGGUUGAGAGACCGACCAGCCAGAUUGGGACUGAGACACGGCCCAGACUCCUACGGGAGGCAGCAGUGGGGAAUCUCGCACAAUGGGCGAAAGCCUGAUGCAGCGACGCCGCGUGCGGGAUGAGGGCCUUCGGGUUGUAAACCGCUUUCAGCAGGGACGAGGCGAAAGUGACGGUACCUGCAGAGGAAGCCCCGGCUAACUACGUGCCAGCAGCCGCGGUAAUACGUAGGGGGCAAGCGUUAUCCGGAUUCAUUGGGCGUAAAGCGCUCGUAGGCGGUCUGUUAGGUCGGGAGUUAAAUCCGGGGGCUCAACCCCCGUUCGCUCCCGAUACCGGCAGACUUGAGUUUGGUAGGGGAAGGUGGAAUUCCUAGUGUAGCGGUGGAAUGCGCAGAUAUUAGGAAGAACACCAGUGGCUAAGGCGGCCUUCUGGGCCAUAACUGACGCUGAGGAGCGAAAGCUAGGGGAGCAAACAGG
This 735-nucleotide ribosomal RNA is filed under the name uncultured Atopobium sp. Its description in RNAcentral is "bacterial SSU rRNA". It matches the Rfam family "Bacterial small subunit ribosomal RNA", at positions 28 to 776 of the family's 1533-position model. The record is from RNAcentral. Lineage: Bacteria; Bacillati; Actinomycetota; Coriobacteriia; Coriobacteriales; Atopobiaceae.